UCGGAAUGUCGCGUAGCAAAGAGGCUGCGUGAAGGCUUUCUGAUCCCUGAUUUCUGAUCCCUGAUACCUGCGCUGCUCUGCAAUGGGCAGCGAGUGGCGGACGGGUGAGUAACACGUGGGAAUUUUCCUCAAGGUACGGAACAACUCAGGGAAACUUGGGCUAAUACCGUAUGAUGCCGAGAGGCCAAAGAUUUAUCGCCUUGGGAUAAGCCCGCGUCAGAUUAGGUAGUUGGUGGGGUAAAGGCCUACCAAGCCUGUGAUCUGUAGCUGGUCUGAGAGGACGAUCAGCCACAUUGGGACUGAGACACGGCCCAAACUCCUACGGGAGGCAGCAGUGGGGAAUCUUGCGCAAUGGGCGAAAGCCUGACGCAGCCAUGCCGCGUGAGUUUGAAGGUCUUAGGAUUGUAAAGUUC
This 413-nucleotide ribosomal RNA is filed under the name uncultured organism. RNAcentral describes it as "bacterial SSU rRNA". It matches the Rfam family "Bacterial small subunit ribosomal RNA", at positions 62 to 433 of the family's 1533-position model. The record is from RNAcentral.